UCCGGUUUGGCACCGGCGGUCUCCGAUGAGUCCCCGGCUUUACCCGCUGGCAACAUCGGACAGGGGUUGCGCUCGUUGCGCCACUUAAGGCAACACCUCACGGCACGAGCUGACGACAGCCAUGCAGCACCUGUGCGGGCUCCCGAAGGAGCGCCGUGUUUCCACGGCUUCACCCCGCAUGUCAAGCCCUGGUAAGGUGGGGAUGACGUAGCUGUACCAUAGA
Molecule: unclassified non-coding RNA, 223 nt
Filed under: uncultured Actinomycetes bacterium
Lineage: Bacteria; Bacillati; Actinomycetota; Actinomycetes
Description: uncultured actinobacterium contains 16S-23S intergenic spacer region
Source: RNAcentral